RNAcentral lists this ribosomal RNA (548 nucleotides) under uncultured Glomeromycotina. RNAcentral describes it as "SSU rRNA". It matches the Rfam family "Eukaryotic small subunit ribosomal RNA", at positions 548 to 1097 of the family's 1831-position model. The record is from RNAcentral. Lineage: Eukaryota; Fungi; Glomeromycota.
UUGGAGGGCAAGUCUGGUGCCAGCAGCCGCGGUAAUUCCAGCUCCAAUAGCGUAUAUUAAAGUUGUUGCAGUUAAAAAGCUCGUAGUUGAAUUUCGGGGUCAGUAGAUUGGUCGUGCCACUGGUAUGCACUGGUCUCACUGAUUCCUCCUUCCUGAUGAACCGUAAUGCCAUUAAUUUGGUGUUGCGGGGAAUCUGGACUGUUACUUUGAAAAAAUUAGAGUGUUUAAAGCAGGCUAACGCUUGAAUACAUUAGCAUGGAAUAAUAAAAUAGGACGUUCGAUCCUAUUUUGUUGGUUUCUAGGAUUGACGUAAUGAUUAAUAGGGAUAGUUGGGGGCAUUAGUAUUCAAUUGUCAGAGGUGAAAUUCUUGGAUUUAUUGAAGACUAACUACUGCGAAAGCACUUGCCAAGGAUGUUUUCAUUAAUCAAGAACGAAAGUUAGGGGAUCGAAGACGAUCAGAUACCGUCGUAGUCUUAACCAUAAACUAUGCCGACUAGGGAUCGGAUGAUGUUAAUUUUUUAAUGACUCAUUCGGCGCCUUACGGGAAA